This 42-nucleotide ribosomal RNA is filed under the name Inocybe cf. subtilior. RNAcentral's name for it is "partial large subunit ribosomal RNA". Lineage: Eukaryota; Fungi; Basidiomycota; Agaricomycetes; Agaricales; Inocybaceae. The record is from RNAcentral.
UUGAUCUCAAAUCAGGUAGGAGUACCCGCUGAACUUAAGCAU